UGGACGGCAAGGUGUCUUUUUGGCCACCGUAUAAAGACACCAAGCGGACGAAAAUUGCAGUCAUCCAAAGCGCUAUGCCAGAUGAGACCUGGGGAGAGUUUUUUGUGGAGGUGGUGAAAACCUUUGCCAAUUAUGAUGCAGCGCGUAUGAACCUGAAAAAAGCCCAAACCAGGAGCACCCCGACAUCAGAUGAUGAAGGGGGUAAAAGAAGGAGAAUCCCUUCUUCAAAGCUGAAAGAAACUGUGCCUGCAGAUGAGGGGGAGAAGCAUACAAGGUCUGAUUACAGAUGGCCAUGCAUUAUCACUCACAUGAAGACAUUUUGUGAUUGGCAAGUUUGCAGUCUUACAAAACUGUUGUUGUUCAUACUCUUGUACUGUUCCAAUGUAUAGGGCUAAGAAAAAAGAAAAAAAAG
Molecule: long non-coding RNA, 412 nt
Organism: Gadus morhua (Atlantic cod)
Lineage: Eukaryota; Metazoa; Chordata; Actinopteri; Gadiformes; Gadidae
Exons: 3
Source: RefSeq, a predicted model, not a curated record